GAGUUUGAUCAUGGCUCAGAGUGAACGCUGGCGGCGUGCUUAACACAUGCAAGUCGAACGGAUGAAAUAAGCUUGCUUAUUUUGUUAGUGGCGCACGGGUGAGUAAUGUAUAGCUAACCUGCCCUUUAGUGGGGGACAACAGUUGGAAACGACUGCUAAUACCCUAUACUCCUUCUUAUCUCAAGAUAAGUUGGGAAAGAUUUAUCGCUAAAGGAUGGGGCUUUAUUGUAUCAGCUAGUUGGUGGGGUAAUGGCCUACCAAGGCUAUGACGCAUACCUGGUCUGAGAGGAUGAUCAGGCACACUGGAACUGAGACACGGUCCAGACUCCUACGGGAGGCAGCAGUGGGGAAUAUUGCACAAUGGAGGAAACUCUGAUGCAGCAACGCCGCGUGGAGGAUGACGCAUUUCGGUGUGUAAACUCCUUUUAUAAGGGAAGAUAAUGACGGUACCUUAUGAAUAAGCACCGGCUAACUCCGUGCCAGCAGCCGCGGUCA
RNAcentral lists this ribosomal RNA (495 nucleotides) under uncultured Campylobacterota bacterium. Its description in RNAcentral is "bacterial SSU rRNA". It matches the Rfam family "Bacterial small subunit ribosomal RNA", at positions 9 to 523 of the family's 1533-position model. The record is from RNAcentral. Lineage: Bacteria; Pseudomonadati; Campylobacterota.